CAUUUCAGAUUUCAUUUUCCCUUUCUUCAACCCAUACGGCUGCUGCUUCUCCUCUUCUCCUUCAUUUUAAGUCAUUUGUUUUUCUCCUCUGUUUUUCAUUGAGUUGCCAUCUACAGUAUUUCUUCUUCCUCUCGAUCUUAUUUUCGGAUCUUCCCCUCUACAAGUUAGCAAACGCCACCACUCAUUCCUCCAUCUUCAGCUAGUCUAUCUUUGAGCCUCCAUUGUUGUGCUUUCUCUGAACUCUUUCUUUCUAAUUUCGUGGCUCAUGCUUGUGAUGUAUUCCCAUUGCUUUCCCUUUUUAUUUGGUCCUUUACUGCGCUGUUGUCUUAUUUUUUGUCGUGCCCUAUUUUUCCAUAAAAGCCAUGAGCUUCACUCGUAUCUUGGUGAUUUUGGUGCUUGUCUUGAGUGCGUGUUCUGCUACUGCUUAUUGCUCUCGGUUUCCCUUGGGUGACGAUUGAAAAUUAUUCAGUACUGUUGUGGAGAAUUUCUGAAUAAGCUAAGAA
Long non-coding RNA from Juglans regia (Persian walnut), 503 nucleotides. RefSeq lists it as uncharacterized. The transcript has 3 exons. The record is from RefSeq and is a predicted model, not a curated record. Lineage: Eukaryota; Viridiplantae; Streptophyta; Magnoliopsida; Fagales; Juglandaceae.